GAAAUGUCUCAUACGGUCACCCUACUGGUUGUAGCAUCGUGUUAGCUUUUGACUUCUUCUGAUUGUAUUUCGGCUUCAAAAGGAGUCCAUGGGGAAAAUGCAUAGGCUUUCGGUCGAGCGAACCAGCGCGACGCUUACUUCCGGGUUAGCCUACUAAACAUCAUCUCUGAGACGUUCGACUUUCUGGACCCAGCUGUGAUGGACAAAUGGUUUCUGGCACUUGCCGGCCUUGUAGGCAGUGAACUGCACACGGUUCCACUCUCAAUGUCACAUGGCUACAGGAAGAGCUCCAUUACAGAGCUAUUUCAAAUACCAACCACUGAGAAAAUGGCCCCACCGAGCACAAUGAAAGUAACUCGCAACCAAUUAGACUCUUCAGUCACACUUUAUGGCUUUUACUGAAGUGUUAGGGUCGAGAAGAGAGAGGUCACGGUUAUUCUCUUUACUUUAAAAGAGUUUAAUAUCUGUGAGGUGUGUGGCUUGAGUUGAAAACAUCAUUUUCAUACUCUGAUUGAUAACCUGUGAAUGGUGUUUGGUUUUAGAAACGUAGUUAACAUUCUUACAGCAUA
Triplophysa dalaica is the source of this 569-nucleotide long non-coding RNA. RefSeq lists it as uncharacterized. The transcript has 3 exons. NCBI's taxonomy places the organism in Eukaryota, Metazoa, Chordata, Actinopteri, Cypriniformes, Nemacheilidae. The record is from RefSeq and is a predicted model, not a curated record.